RNAcentral lists this ribosomal RNA (253 nucleotides) under uncultured bacterium. RNAcentral's name for it is "partial 16S ribosomal RNA". It matches the Rfam family "Bacterial small subunit ribosomal RNA", at positions 524 to 776 of the family's 1533-position model. The record is from RNAcentral.
UACGUAGGGGGCUAGCGUUGUCCGGAAUCAUUGGGCGUAAAGAGCUCGUAGGCGGCUUGUCACGUCGGGUGUGAAAGCCCGGGGCUUAACCCCGGGUCUGCAUUCGAUACGGGCAGGCUAGAGUGUGGUAGGGGAGAUCGGAAUUCCUGGUGUAGCGGUGAAAUGCGCAGAUAUCAGGAGGAACACCGGUGGCGAAGGCGGAUCUCUGGGCCAUUACUGACGCUGAGGAGCGAAAGCGUGGGGAGCGAACAGG